GUUGCUCCUCUAUUAAAUUUAUAUACCCAAAGACUUUGUACAAUGCUAUUGCAUCGUUCUUCGGGAGCGCGAGUACAAGAUACAAUUAUAAAAGGUUUAUAACACAUUGUAAAUAUAACACGUUUGAAUGUGUGUGAUCCUAAAUUGAUGUAUAUCUUUAAUUAAUUCCUAUGCUCACCUAUUCCCAGAACUUAGGAACGGAAUAAACAUAGGAAGAACGUUAGUGAGGUUAAGUGCGCCACGUGCAUCUCGGAAACAAACAUCGUACAUUGCUGUGUGUAUUGUGAAAAUGAGUACGUCAAGCUUCGCACAAAUCGAAACUCUUCACGGAGACAACUAUGACACUUGGAAGUUACAGAUGAAAGCAGUGCUCAUAAAAAGCGAUAGGCAAUACUUAGGCGGCGAGUGCGUAAAACCAAUGCUGGAAGUCGGAAACACGGCAUCGGAAAAGGCUGUAAAAACGUGGAUAAAAAAUGACAACAAAGCAAAAUCAGAUAUCAUAUUAUCGAUAAAACCAUCUAAAUUGAAGCAAAUCUAAGGAUGUGUAACGUCCUGCGAAGUAUGGGUGAAGCUAGAAAACAUGUAUCUGUCGAAGGGAGACCAUACUUCUGAAACAGCUCAUGCUUCAGCACAUGGAAGAUGGAGAUGAUGUACGAGAACAUGUGUGAAAAUUUUUUGAUAUUGUCGAUAAACUGGCUGAAAUAAAUGUAGAAAUUAAUUCGGAAUUACUCGCGAUCAUGCUCUUGUAUCGUUUACCACCCUCAUUUGACAAUUUUCGAUGCGCCAUCGAAUCGCGCGACGAAUUACCGUCACUGGAUGUGCUUCGAACAAAGAUUAUGGAAGAAAGUGAUACUCGAAAACAAAUAACACAUGCGGCGCUAUUCAAAACGCGAUGAUAGUAAAGAAGAGAGGAAAUUCGAAUAAAGACAGCAAGAAAAUCAAAAUCGGGAAACAAAGAAGAUUUUGAGUUCCAUUUUCACUGGUGUAAAGAAAGGUCAUACAACCAUAGAUUGCAGAAACAAGAGACACGAAGAUUUCCAACCGUCGGUGAAUACCAAACACGCUCCUACACGGUGAAAGUGUUUUCGGAUGCGCAGAAAGCAUUUCAAGUGAAUCGGCGACUUUUAUUAUUUGUUAGAACGGAUUGAAUACAAUAAAAUCUCAGAUGAUGCAUUAAAUGCUUUGAAAACUCUAAAGGUGUAGCAUCAUCGGUUCGGCCAUUUAAAUGCGCUGGAUAUAGUGAAUGGCUAGCCUUCAAGAAGGAUUAAGCUAUUACAAUUUAACAACAGGAAAGAAUAUCUGAGUAAGGAGUUUGAAAAUUUCUUGAAGAAGAGUAGAAUUUAGUGAAAACUUUUGAUUGCAUUUCAAACAAAAUGGAACAGCAGAUUGUCUACUCAUACAAUCGGAUCUUCCUCUUCAUUUUGGAUGGAAGCCAUAUCAGUAGUUAGCUGCAUCAGAAACUGUGUAACAAAAGGUUUCGAAAGUCGUGCUCCAUUCGAAUUAUGGAUCGGAAGAGCGCCUGAGUAAAUUAUUUCAAAGGAUUCGGUUGUAAUGUGUAUUGUCUCAAUGGAGUUUCUAGCAAGAAGAAGUUCGAGGAUCGCACUAGGAAAGGAUACGCCAUGAACUCGAGAAGUACCGAAUGUAAUUGCCUGAGAAAAAAAAAUUGAGGUUAUCAGAAACAUGAAACAUGUUCUUAUAGAAUCGCGAAGACUUAUUAGACACGUUUUUGAGAAUUUUACUCGGAAGAUGUCGCGGUUCAACAAAAGGAGGAUUCGGACAUUCUUGAUACCGCUAUAAUAAAAAAACAAAAAUCGAGAUAAAACUAAUACAAAAGAACCGAGAUAUAUUCCUGAAUAAUAAUGUAAUCGAUCAUAACUUGGAGACGAAAAUAAUCUCAAGAAGAAGACUAGAACUGCGCGAAGAAGCGGAGAUCGCGGACGCUGAGUCAAUUCAUCUUACCAAAGUGCCUAUUAAAAAAGUUAUUAUUUGCAUAAAUGUGUGCGAUCUUAAAUUGAGGUUUACGUUUAAUCGUCUUCCUUACGCUCACUUGCUUACAAAUUCAAAUUAUAGAAUUGUGAGAAAAUAUACAUUUACAUAAAAAAAUCUGAAAAAAUUAAAUUAAAAUAAAAUAAGCCAUUUUUUAUAAUAUGAAAAAAACAGUGUUGUUUUUUUGAAAAGACUAUGCAAUUCUGCAGUAAAAAAGGUUAAUUGGUUUUUGAUAAGAUUUAUAAUAGGAAGUAGGAAUUGAUCAAAUAGCAACUAUCUCAAAAGUUAAUAAUAUUAAAAUAAUAAAAAAAAAAAUUAAAUGUAGAGUAAUAAGAAACAUGCAUUGCCGCAGUACACGAGUCAUGAGUCAAACUUGGUUGUGUCGAUCCUGAUCGCACGAAUUUCAUGCGCUCCCAUACAUCAACUUCAAUGCCUCACCAUUCAAAUUCUAUUCAUCGGAUUACUUUUUUGUAAAAAACUUUUUGGCUUAAAAUUUCAUGAAGAAUCUGUCAUUAAAAACUUUUUCGCCAGUUCUGGGACACCAUGUAUGUAUGUAUAUAUAUAUAUAUAUAUAUAUAUAUAUAUAUAUAUAUAUACAUAUAUAUAUUUUUUUUU
Long non-coding RNA from Cataglyphis hispanica, 2601 nucleotides. RefSeq lists it as uncharacterized. The transcript has 2 exons. NCBI's taxonomy places the organism in Eukaryota, Metazoa, Arthropoda, Insecta, Hymenoptera, Formicidae. The record is from RefSeq and is a predicted model, not a curated record.